UCUGCAAGUACCGGGCAUGAGAGCGAGGACAUCGGCUAGUUUGACAGACGCACUCUGAGUGGCUGAGGCUGAUCAGAAACAGGAGAGGCCAGGCCCGGGGCUGACCGCCAAGGCUGGAGUCAGGACUGAGAGACUCUGGGCCCAGGAAAGUUCCCACCCUCAUAGCUUACCACAGGGAGAAGCCCGACAGCCCAGAACCAGCAGACCUGAGAACUCCACAGCACCAAGAGGCCCCUAGCCUAACAGCUGGGCCCCCAGGAGCCAAGGGCAGAAGGGAGAAACACAUCUCGGAGACAAGGGGCUGCUUGGCCAACACAGCCCACAAAGAGGACACCAAUGGUCAAGCCACAUACCCAGUGUCAGUCUAUGCUAACCAGCAUAGCAUAGAAGCAGAGCUUCUGAAAACAGAAGCCCGUGAUUUCUCCUCCAAAUCUGUUCCUCUUCAGCCCUUCCAGCUCUCCAUCGUCUGCUCAAGCCAGAAAUCUGAGUGUCUCUCACCCUUGUAAUCCAUCUCCAAGAACAGCCAUUCCUAACCCCAGAGUAUAUCUCUGGGGUCUGCCAACUAUAGCCUGAGCAUCAAAUAUGGGCAACUACCUGCUUCUGUUCAGCUUACCAGUUAAGAAAAGGUUUACUUUUAAAAUGGUUGGAAAAUCAAAAGAAGAAGAAUAUUUCAUGACACGUGGAAAUGACAUGAAAGUCAAACUUCAGUGUCCUUAAAUAAAGCUUCCCUGGAACACAGCCAUGCUUCAUUCAUUUACGUAUGAUCUGUGGUUGCUUUUGCACUACAAUAGCAGAACUGAAUAGUGGCAUAUUGCAAAGUCUAAAAUAUUUACUUCCUGGCCCUUUGCAGAAAAAGUGUGCUGACACCUCAUAUAUCUUCACUCUCUAGUUCUCUCCAUCUCUGCUUCUCUCCCUGGCCGGCCAAGUGCCAGCAUCCCCUGCCUCGAUGACCACAUGAGGCUCUUCACUGGUUUCUCCACCUGGAAUCCCACCAGCACCCCAGCUCUGAAGCAGCAAGCACACAAUUCCUGGCUCACCCCUAGUGGUCCUUUCCCCUUCCUCCUCCGGGAAGCCAGAUCACCGCCCCAAGCAGCGUGGGCUCCUGCCCCUCCAGCCUCGGCUGCUGCCACACCCCCAGGACAGGGCUGCCCCCCAAGCCUGUGUUCCAGUGUCUACCCGAGGGGAGUUCCAGUUCCUGGGAGACUACACUGACUUUCAAAGGACCUGGGAUCCCUGCCUCCCAGAGGUAGUAUCUCUCCUUGCUCCAAAGCUCCCAGCAAAAAAUGUUUCUCAUUACG
This is a long non-coding RNA of Manis pentadactyla (Chinese pangolin), 1298 nucleotides long. RefSeq lists it as uncharacterized. The transcript is spliced from 4 exons. Lineage: Eukaryota; Metazoa; Chordata; Mammalia; Pholidota; Manidae. The record is from RefSeq and is a predicted model, not a curated record.